RNAcentral lists this ribosomal RNA (812 nucleotides) under Magnaporthaceae sp. Its description in RNAcentral is "partial large subunit ribosomal RNA". It matches the Rfam family "Eukaryotic large subunit ribosomal RNA", at positions 71 to 913 of the family's 3401-position model. The record is from RNAcentral. Lineage: Eukaryota; Fungi; Ascomycota; Sordariomycetes; Magnaporthales; Magnaporthaceae.
GGGAUUGCCCUAGUAACGGCGAGUGAAGCGGCAACAGCUCAAAUUUGAAAUCUGGCCCUAGGCCCGAGUUGUAAUUUGCAGAGGAUGCUUUUGGUGAGGUGCUUACCGAGUCCCCUGGAAUGGGGCGCCACAGAGGGUGAGAGCCCCGUAUGGUUUGCCACCGAGCCUUUGUAAAGCUCCUUCGACGAGUCGAGUAGUUUGGGAAUGCUGCUCUAAAUGGGAGGUAAAUUUCUUCUAAAGCUAAAUACCGGCCAGAGACCGAUAGCGCACAAGUAGAGUGAUCGAAAGAUGAAAAGCACUUUGAAAAGAGGGUUAAAUAGCACGUGAAAUUGUUGAAAGGGAAGCGCUUGUGACCAGACUUGUGCCGGGCGGAUCAUCCAGCGUUCUCGCUGGUGCACUCUGCCCGGCUCAGGCCAGCAUCGGUUUUCGCCGGGGGACAAAAGCCUCGGGAACGUAGCUCCCUUCGGGGAGUGUUAUAGCCCGUUGCAUAAUACCCCGGCGGGGACCGAGGACCGCGCUUCGGCAAGGAUGCUGGCGUAAUGGUCAUCAGCGACCCGUCUUGAAACACGGACCGAGGAGUCAAGCAUUAGUGCGAGUGUUUGGGUGUAAAACCCGCACGCGUAAUGAAAGUGAACGUAGGUGAGAGCUUCGGCGCAUCAUCGACCGAUCCUGAUGUUUUCGGAUGGAUUUGAGUAGGAGCAUUAACGCUUGGACCCGAAAGAUGGUGAACUAUACUUGAAUAGGGUGAAGCCAGAGGAAACUCUGGUGGAGGCUCGCAGCGGUUCUGACGUGCAAAUCGAUCGUCAAAUUUG